AUUGAACGCUGGCGGCAUGCUUUACACAUGCAAGUCGAACGGCAGCACGGGUGCUUGCACCUGGUGGCGAGUGGCGGACGGGUGAGUAAUACAUCGGAACGUGUCCAGAAGAGGGGGAUAACGCAUCGAAAGAUGUGCUAAUACCGCAUAUGCUCUGAGGAGGAAAGUGGGGGAUCGAAAGACCUUACGCUUUUGGAGCGGCCGAUGUCUGAUUAGCUAGUUGGUGGGGUAAGGGCCUACCAAGGCGACGAUCAGUAGUUGGUCUGAGAGGACGACCAGCCACACUGGGACUGAGACACGGCCCAGACUCCUACGGGAGGCAGCAGUGGGGAAUAUUGCGCAAUGGGCGAAAGCCUGACGCAGCCAUACCGCGUGUGUGAAGAAGGGCCUC
RNAcentral lists this ribosomal RNA (391 nucleotides) under uncultured bacterium. Its description in RNAcentral is "bacterial SSU rRNA". It matches the Rfam family "Bacterial small subunit ribosomal RNA", at positions 30 to 419 of the family's 1533-position model. The record is from RNAcentral.